This 492-nucleotide ribosomal RNA is filed under the name uncultured bacterium. Its description in RNAcentral is "partial 16S ribosomal RNA". It matches the Rfam family "Bacterial small subunit ribosomal RNA", at positions 29 to 507 of the family's 1533-position model. The record is from RNAcentral.
AGUGAACGCUGGCGGUAGGCCUAACACAUGCAAGUCGAACGGCAGCACAGUAAGAGCUUGCUCUUACGGGUGGCGAGUGGCGGACGGGUGAGGAAUACAUCGGAAUCUACUUUUUCGUGGGGGAUAACGUAGGGAAACUUACGCUAAUACCGCAUACGACCUACGGGUGAAAGGAGGGGAUCUUCGGACCUUGCGCGAUUGAAUGAGCCGAUGUCGGAUUAGCUAGUUGGCGGGGUAAAGGCCCACCAAGGCGACGCUCCGCAGCUGGUCUGAGAGGAUGAUCAGCCACACUGGAACUGGGACACGGUCCAGACUCCGACGGGAGGCACCAGUGGGGAAAAUUGGGCAAUGGGCGCAAGCCUGAUCCAGCCAUACCGCGUGGGUGAAGAAGGCCUUCGGGUUGUAAAGCCCUUUUGUUGGGAAAGAAAAGCAGCAGGUUAAUACCCCGCUGUUCUGACGGUACCCAAAGAAUAAGCACCGGCUAACUUCGUG